RNAcentral lists this ribosomal RNA (438 nucleotides) under uncultured bacterium. Its description in RNAcentral is "bacterial SSU rRNA". It matches the Rfam family "Bacterial small subunit ribosomal RNA", at positions 954 to 1392 of the family's 1533-position model. The record is from RNAcentral.
GCAAAACGCGAAGAACCUUACCCGGGUUUGAACGUAGGGAGACAGGGGUGGAAACAUCCUUUUCAGCAAUGACUGCCUACGAGGUGCUGCAUGGUUGUCGUCAGCUCGUGCCGUGAGGUGUCGGCUUAAGUGCCAUAACGAGCGCAACCCUUAUUUCCAGUUACUAACAGGUGAUGCUGAGGACUCUGGAGAGACUGCCAGCGUAAGCUGUGAGGAAGGUGGGGAUGACGUCAAAUCAGCACGGCCCUUACAUCCGGGGCGACACACGUGUUACAAUGGUAAGGACAAAGGGCAGCUACCGGGCGACCGGAUGCGAAUCUCUAAACCUUAUCUCAGUUCGGAUCGGAGUCUGCAACUCGACUCCGUGAAGCUGGAUUCGCUAGUAAUCGCGCAUCAGCCAUGGCGCGGUGAAUACGUUCCCGGGUCUUGUACACACCG